RNAcentral lists this unclassified non-coding RNA (247 nucleotides) under Hevea brasiliensis (rubber tree). The record is from RNAcentral. Lineage: Eukaryota; Viridiplantae; Streptophyta; Magnoliopsida; Malpighiales; Euphorbiaceae.
GUUUUCUGUCUGUGUACAGAUCCGAAUAUAAUUGGAACUGCAUUUUACAUUAUGGAGUAUUUGGAAGGUCGGAUUUUUAUAGAACCCAAGUUACCGGGUGUGGCACCUGGGAGGAGGGGGGCNNNNNNUCGAGAAACUGCCAGAGCGUUGGCUGCUUUACAUUCCGUUGAUGUGGAUGCUAUUGGACUUGGGAAAUAUGGGCGGCGAUAUAACUAUUGUAAACGACAGGUAGAGAGAUGGACUAGAC